GACGAACGCUGGCGGCGUGCUUAACACAUGCAAGUCGAGCGGAAAGGCCCUUCGGGGUACUCGAGCGGCGAACGGGUGAGUAACACGUGAGUAACCUGCCCUGGACUUUGGGAUAACCCUCGGAAACGGGGGCGUAAUACCGAAUACGACUUCUGCCCGCAUGGGUGGUGGUGGAAAGUUUUUCGGUCUGGGAUGGGCUCGCGGCCUAUCAGCUUGUUGGUGGGGUGAUGGCCUACCAAGGCGACGACGGGUAGCCGGCCUGAGAGGGCGACCGGCCACACUGGGACUGAGACACGGCCCAGACUCCUACGGGAGGCAGCAGUGGGGAAUAUUGCACAAUGGGCGGAAGCCUGAUGCAGCGACGCCGCGUGAGGGAUGACGG
RNAcentral lists this ribosomal RNA (382 nucleotides) under uncultured bacterium. RNAcentral describes it as "bacterial SSU rRNA". It matches the Rfam family "Bacterial small subunit ribosomal RNA", at positions 28 to 414 of the family's 1533-position model. The record is from RNAcentral.